This is a long non-coding RNA of Oncorhynchus keta (chum salmon), 378 nucleotides long. RefSeq lists it as uncharacterized. Lineage: Eukaryota; Metazoa; Chordata; Actinopteri; Salmoniformes; Salmonidae. The record is from RefSeq and is a predicted model, not a curated record. The transcript has 4 exons.
CUUUAUGUAGUGUUGUUGUCUUAGGUCUCUCUUCAUGUAGUGUUGUUGUCUUAGGUCUCUCUUCAUGUAGUGUUGUUGUCUUAGGUCUCUCUUUAUGUAGUGUUGUUGUCUUAGGUCUCUCUUUAUGUAGUGUUGUUGUCUUAGGUCUCUCUUUAUGUAGUGUUGUUGUCUUAGGUCUCUCUUUAUGUAGUGUUGUUGUCUUAGGUCUCUCUUUAUGUAGUGGUGUUGUCUUAGGUCUCUCUUUAUGUAGUGUUGUUGUCUUAGGUCUCUCUUUAUGUAGUGUUGUUGUCAUAAGUCGCUAUGUAGUGUUGUUGUCUUAGGUCUCUCUUUAUGUAGUGGUGUUGUCUUAGGUCUCUCUUUAUGUAGUGUUGUUGUCUU